This 153-nucleotide ribosomal RNA is filed under the name Triticum aestivum (bread wheat). RNAcentral's name for it is "partial small subunit ribosomal RNA". The record is from RNAcentral. Lineage: Eukaryota; Viridiplantae; Streptophyta; Magnoliopsida; Poales; Poaceae.
UACAAAAAUUAUUUUUAUUCUAAGUUUUAUUCUCAGAUUCUAUCUGAAGGGUUUGCGAUCGUUGUGGAAAUCCCAUUCUCGCUACGGGAAUUAUUUUGUCCGAAAGAAAAAGAAAUACCAAAGUUUCAGAAUUUACGCUCUAUUCGUUACUAA